GAUGAACGCUGGCGGCGUGCUUAACACAUGCAAGUCGAACGGAAAGGCCAGUGCUUGCGCUGCUGCUCGAGUGGCGAACGGGUGAGUAACACGUGGGCGAUCUGCCCUGCACUUUGGGAUAAGACUGGGAAACUGGGUCUAAUACCAGAUAGGACCCUGCUUUGGGUGGUGUGGUGGAAAGUUUUUUGGGUGUGGGGUGAGCUUGCGGCCUAUCAGCUUGUUGUUGGGGUAAUGGCCUACCAAGGCGUCGCCGGGUAGCCGGCCUGGGGGGGGGUACGGCCACAGUGGGACCGAGAUACGGCCCAGACUCCUACGGGAGGGAACAGGGGGGAAGAUUGCACCAGGGGCGCAAGGCUGGUGCAGAGACGCCGCGGGGGGGAAGGCGGCCUUCGGGUUGUAAACUCGUUUCGCAACGGACGAAGGUGUUUGUGACGGUAGGUUGAGAAGAAGCACCGGCUAACUACGUG
RNAcentral lists this ribosomal RNA (467 nucleotides) under uncultured bacterium. Its description in RNAcentral is "partial 16S ribosomal RNA". It matches the Rfam family "Bacterial small subunit ribosomal RNA", at positions 28 to 507 of the family's 1533-position model. The record is from RNAcentral.